CGUCUCGCUUCCUAUCAGGCAGGGAGACCCGGGGACAUGUGAUCGCACCUAUCCUGGCUACAGUGAAGCAUGCACGUGUGCCUUCCUCUCUCUGUUUGGGGGAAGGAUUCCAACACUCAUGACUUUGUGCUGAACAUCACAGGACUUUUCCCUCCGUGAUGCCCUCAAAACGACCCUGAAAUAGCCCAAUACCUAGGACAAAGCUCCCUUAGGCCUCUUAGGAGGUCUAAGAGCCCCAACCUGGGGGGUCUUUCUGUCCGAUUUGGGGGGACUUUCAAGCACCAUGAGGAUGAAGAAAGGCAGUCUGGCCACAGGAAAGAGCAUCUUAGCUGAAACUUCUUGGGAAUGCAAGCUUUCCUCUGGUCUUCCAUCUAAGAGAAAGAAUGAAUUGAGGGUUCUUGCUGCUUCCUGGUCUAGGAGAGGGUUAAUGCUUAUCACUCUAUCCCUCU
Long non-coding RNA from Odocoileus virginianus texanus, 449 nucleotides. RefSeq lists it as uncharacterized. NCBI's taxonomy places the organism in Eukaryota, Metazoa, Chordata, Mammalia, Artiodactyla, Cervidae. The record is from RefSeq and is a predicted model, not a curated record.